UCCUACGGGGCGCAGCAGUAGGGAAUUUUCGUCAAUGGGCGCAAGCCUGAACGAGCAAUGCCGCGUGAACGAGGAAGGUCUUCGGAUCGUAAAGUUCUGUUGAAGGGGAAAAAGAGCGGAGAGAGGAAGUGGUCUCCGAUUGAUAUUACCCUUCGAGGAAGUCACGGCUAACUACGUGCCAGCAGCCGCGGUAAUACGUAGGUGGCGAGAGUUAUCCGGAAUGAUUGGGCGUAAAGGGUGCGUAGGCGGCCUGCUAAGUCUGGAGUGAAAGGAACCGGCUCAACCGGUACAGGCUCUGGAAACUG
Molecule: ribosomal RNA, 305 nt
Filed under: uncultured bacterium
Lineage: Bacteria
Description: bacterial SSU rRNA
Rfam family: Bacterial small subunit ribosomal RNA
Source: RNAcentral